GACGAACGCUGGCGGCGUGCUUAACACAUGCAAGUCGAACGAAGUGGCGAACGGGUGAGUAACGCGUAAUCAACCUGCCCUUCAGAGGGGGACAACAGUUGGAAACGACUGCUAAUAACGCAUACUGAAGGAGGGGAUUGCGUCGGAUUAGCUAGUUGGAGGGGUAACGGCCCACCAAGGCGAUGAUCAGUAGCCGGUAUGAGAGGGUGAACGGCCACAUUGGGACUGAGGACCGGCCCAGACUCCUACGGGAGGCAUGAGUGGGGAAUCGUCCGCAAUGGACGAAAGUCUUACGGAGCAACGCCGCGGGAGGGAUGACGGCCUUCGGGUUGUAAAGCUCUGUUAAUCGGGACGCGGUACCGGAAUAGAAAGCCACGGCUAACUACGUGCCAGCAGCCGCGGUAAUUC
This 408-nucleotide ribosomal RNA is filed under the name uncultured bacterium. Its description in RNAcentral is "partial 16S ribosomal RNA". It matches the Rfam family "Bacterial small subunit ribosomal RNA", at positions 28 to 526 of the family's 1533-position model. The record is from RNAcentral.